CCUACGGUAGGCAGCAGUGAGGAAUAUUGGUCAAUGGCCGGAAGGCUGAACCAGCCAUGCAGCGUGAAGGUCAGUGCCCUAUGGGCGUUAAACUUCUUUUGUUCGGGAGCAAUAAUGGUCACGUGUGGCCAGACGAUAGUACCGUACGAAUAAGCAUCGGCUAACUCCGUGCCAGCAGCCGCGGUAAGACGGGGGAUGCAAGCGUUAUCCGGAAUUUUUGGGUUUAAAGGGUGCGUAGGCUGGGAGGUAAGUCAGCGGUGAAAUGCCCCCGCGCAACGGGGUGAAGGGCCAUUGAUACUGGCUGGCUGGAAUGCGGAUGCUGUGGGAGGAAUGUGUGGUGUAGCGGUGAAAUGCAUAGAUAUCACACAGAACACCGAUUGCGAAGGCAUCUCACGAAUCCGCGAUUGACGCUGAUGCACGAAAGCGUGGGUAUCAAACAGGAUUAGAUACCCCAGUAGUC
This 460-nucleotide ribosomal RNA is filed under the name uncultured bacterium. RNAcentral's name for it is "partial 16S ribosomal RNA". It matches the Rfam family "Bacterial small subunit ribosomal RNA", at positions 338 to 795 of the family's 1533-position model. The record is from RNAcentral.